Molecule: long non-coding RNA, 1840 nt
Organism: Orcinus orca (killer whale)
Lineage: Eukaryota; Metazoa; Chordata; Mammalia; Artiodactyla; Delphinidae
Exons: 3
Source: RefSeq, a predicted model, not a curated record
GCUCUCCAGGAGUGCCUGAUGAAUUCCCAAGAAACUAGUAGCUACGGAGCCUUUCGAAAGAGAGAGAUGUUGCAGUGGCACCAUCAAAGAUCUCUCUCCAAAUGAAGUCGUGCCAAAGAGAAAUCUGAGUCAUGGUUUUCAAUAGCUGGAACUGGAGAAGAAACCCCUAGACAACUUUGUAUCCGGAAAUCUGAAAACCGAAAAGGAGAGAACGCUCCGGCGGCAAAGGACCACAGUGUCAAUUUACUAGCACACAUAUGGAGAAAAAGAAAUGCCAAACGAAAAUUCAUGAGCAGCACAAAGCUAGCUCGUCAGUAACUUGCCUGCAUCUCUGUAAUAAACUCUCUUCCUUCUACCUUGUGAAUAUCGUGCCAAAGCCGCUGCUAGUCAUCUGUCUCCCCACAGUGCCUCACUGGGUACAUUGCAAGCAAGCAUUGAACACUUUUGCUAAAUGAAUGAAUGGACGUUGAAUAAUGAACUAAGUUGUCGCUUGACUUUGAGGGUUCUGUUUCCUCACAUAUAAAAUAAAGGACUAUUUCCAAAAUUCCUUAUGUUUCAAAAAUACUAGGGUUCCAUAAAAUAAAAAGACAUUAACACAUAUUAAUACCUGCUGAGUAAAAGCAAUAAGGGAAAACCUACACUUUAACGCUCAUCAGGAAAUAAAAUAACGAGCUCUUCCACAUGGAAAAGAGAAGGAAAGUAACAAAGGAGAAGACUGGGUGAUGAUACCAUUAUAGUUGGAUCUGCUUUGUUUCAUAAAAGACCAACGUCACCCUGCAUCCCUCUCGCUAUCAAAAAUAAAGCCACUGUACCCCCAGAGAACUUUUUAUUCUUGUCAGCGUGAGACCCCUCAUGGUGCUGUUUCAGUGGGUUACAGAAAAGUAGUUCUUGGAUCAAAGGAAUGCCUUUCAGUCCCAGAGUGAGUGCAGAUUUGGCCUGAGAACUCAAUCAGAUUCUAAAUUUUCUGUGUUCACACAGGAAGUACCGAAAUACUCCAUGAAAUGUGGGGAACGAGUCCAUGACUCCAAGCCCAGGUCUCAGGAUGCCCAUUCUGGUCUCUACCACCAUAACUAAGGCUUACCCUACAAUAGGCUUCCUGAAAUUGGUCUACUGUAGGGAAGAUACAUCACUGAAGGCCAACAAGCCAUCCAGAGAAAAGGGACACAGCUAACUUUAGGUAAGAUAAAUGUGUAACUUCAUCCCAAGCUGUAGAGACAGGAUUCCCCACGAACCUCCAUCCAACCACAAGCAUCCACAGCAUACCGACUCCUUGGUACUCACUGGUACCCUGCUACCUGAUGAGCAACGAUAACUCCAGGGCAUUCCCUAGCAGUCCAAUGAUUAGGACUCCAGGUUUCCACCGCAGGGGGCACCGGUUUGAUCCCUCGUUGGGGAACUAAGAUGCCGCAAGCCGCAUGGCGUGGCCAAAAAAGAAGAAGCAAAAGAAAAGAAAAUGAUAACUGUGGCCUGACAGCCAAGGCAAGGGCAGCAUUUGCCGGUUGUAUUAGAGCCUCAUCAACAAGCUGUCAGGGUGUGUUGUCAACCUCAUCAACAAGACCCCAGGAAGAGAUGAUGGAGAAUCUGUCAAGUGAUCCCAUCAGAACGCUGCCCUCCAACACGAGGACUGGGAGAACACUGAGGCUUGACCAAACCCUACAGAUGCGGCAGAUCGAACAGGCAUGCAGUCCUGUCGACAGUCUCAGACUACCCUUCAUUAAAGCAUGUGGUAUUUUAAAAAAUCUCCGUAUUCUUCAGUCCUUUAAGUUGACUGUUUCUCAUAGUCAGUUGCCUUAGUAAAAUGUUAACAACAGGGCUUCCCUGGUGGCACAGUGGUUGAGAG